UUUUUCAUCGAUUUUGAUAUAUGGAACAUUGAAAUUGGAGUUCGUAUGUGAAAGUUAUGGCUGUUUUACAAACGGACUCCGAAUUAGAGGACAAAACGGUUCGAAAGUGGGAAAAAUUUGCGGCGGUGGCUAGAAAUUGAUGGAAAACGGUGGGGAAAAACACACGAACUGGACCCUAGCAAGAACCAGCAACAAGACCUUGACCAGGACACAAACUCAACACUGCGGACUCUGAAACUGAAAUAUGCAAAAGCUAUGAUGCGGAAGAGUUGUAGGACAGGAAAACGAUCUGGCGCUGGACUUACGGGACAAACACAAGAACACUCGAAACUAAGGCUAGAUGUGAACCUAAUGGUAUACUUGAAGCUUUGAUUACCACUUGGUGAGAACAAGGGUGGCCCGAUCUUCCGAAAGGUUCUGGUAACUCUCGAUUUGGUGGAGACGAGAUACAAAUCGAUCCGGCUUCCAAACAACACGAUCCGAAACCCUGUAUUUUUUUUAAUUUUUUUGAUAUUUUUAUUUUACUUAGGAGCACUAAAGAAGUAACUAGAGAAAAUUUGAGCUUAAACAAGUGAAAGACGUCACCUGCGGAAUUUUGUGAAGAUUGCGAAAAAUAAGAAAAAAAAACUUCACGAGGUGAAAACUCAAAUUUUGGAGGAAAAUUUGGAGAUUCUAAAAUUUUCAAACCCGCCUGUUCCAAGGAUAUACAGAUC
Molecule: long non-coding RNA, 713 nt
Filed under: Sorghum bicolor (sorghum)
Lineage: Eukaryota; Viridiplantae; Streptophyta; Magnoliopsida; Poales; Poaceae
Description: long non-coding RNA (SBIC_LNC012770)
Source: RNAcentral